AUUGAACGCUGGCGGCAGGCCUAACACGUGCAAGUCGAGCGGAUGAAGGGAGCUAGCUCCUGGAUUCAGCGGCGGACGGGUGAGUAAUGCCUAGGAAUCUGCCUGGUAGUGGGGGAUAACGUCCGGAAACGGGCGCUAAUACCGCAUACGUCCUGAGGGAGAAAGUGGGGGAUCUUCGGACCUCACGCUAUCAGAUGAGCCUAGGUCGGAUUAGCUAGUUGGUGGGGUAAAGGCCUACCAAGGCGACGAUCCGUAACUGGUCUGAGAGGAUGAUCAGUCACACUGGAACUGAGACACGGUCCAGACUCCUACGGGAGGCAGCAGUGGGGAAUAUUGGACAAUGGGCGAAAGCCUGAUCCAGCCAUGCCGCGUGUGUGAAGAAGGUCUUCGGAUUGUAAAGCACUUUAAGUUGGGAGGAAGGGCAGUAAGUUAAUACCUUGCUGUUUUGACGUUACCAACAGAAUAAGCACCGGCUAACUUCGUG
This 484-nucleotide ribosomal RNA is filed under the name uncultured bacterium. RNAcentral's name for it is "partial 16S ribosomal RNA". It matches the Rfam family "Bacterial small subunit ribosomal RNA", at positions 30 to 507 of the family's 1533-position model. The record is from RNAcentral.